Molecule: transfer RNA, 73 nt
Filed under: Camelus bactrianus (Bactrian camel)
Lineage: Eukaryota; Metazoa; Chordata; Mammalia; Artiodactyla; Camelidae
Also listed under: 2 other names
Rfam family: tRNA
About the family: Transfer RNA (tRNA) molecules are approximately 80 nucleotides in length. Their secondary structure includes four short double-helical elements and three loops (D, anti-codon, and T loops). Further hydrogen bonds mediate the characteristic L-shaped molecular structure. tRNAs have two regions of fundamental functional importance: the anti-codon, which is responsible for specific mRNA codon recognition, and the 3' end, to which the tRNAs corresponding amino acid is attached (by aminoacyl-tRNA synthetases). tRNAs cope with the degeneracy of the genetic code in two manners: having more than one tRNA (with a specific anti-codon) for a particular amino acid; and 'wobble' base-pairing, i.e. permitting non-standard base-pairing at the 3rd anti-codon position.
Source: Rfam by way of RNAcentral
GAGGGUGUGGCUCAGUGGUAGAGCACAUGCUUAGCAUGCCUGGGGUCCCUGGGUUCAAUCCCCAGUGCCUCCA